GAUGAAGAACGUAGCGAAAUGCGAUAAGUAAUGUGAAUUGCAGAACUCAGUGAAUCAUCGAAUCUUUGAACGCACAUUGCGCCCCUUGGUAUUCCAUGGGGCAUGCCUGUUCGAGCGUCAUUUGUACCUUCAAGCUUUGCUUGGUGUUGGGUGUUUGUCUCGCCUUUGCGUGUAGACUCGCCUCAAAACAAUUGGCAGCCGGCGUAUUGAUUUCGGAGCGCAGUACAUCUCGCGCUUUGCACUCAUAACGACGACGUCCAAAAGUACAUUUUUACACUCUUGACCUCGGAUCAGGUAGGGAUACCCGCUGAACUUAAGCAUAUCAAUAAGCGGAGGA
This 337-nucleotide unclassified non-coding RNA is filed under the name soil metagenome. RNAcentral's name for it is "partial contains 5.8S ribosomal RNA, internal transcribed spacer 2, and large subunit ribosomal RNA". The stretch from base 1 to 120 matches the Rfam family "5.8S ribosomal RNA", at positions 35 to 154 of the family's 154-position model. The record is from RNAcentral.